UACCAGCACCCCGAGUGGUCGGGACGUUUAUUGGGCCUAAAGCAUCCGUAGCCGGUUCUACAAGUCUUCCGUUAAAUCCACCUGCUUAACAGAUGGGCUGCGGAAGAUACUAUAGAGCUAGGAGGCGGGAGAGGCAAGCGGUACUCGAUGGGUAGGGGUAAAAUCCGUUGAUCCAUUGAAGACCACCAGUGGCGAAGGCGGCUUGCCAGAACGCGCUUGACGGUGAGGGAUGAAAGCUGGGGGAGCAAACCGG
RNAcentral lists this ribosomal RNA (253 nucleotides) under uncultured bacterium. RNAcentral's name for it is "partial 16S ribosomal RNA". It matches the Rfam family "Archaeal small subunit ribosomal RNA", at positions 474 to 727 of the family's 1478-position model. The record is from RNAcentral.